RNAcentral lists this long non-coding RNA (862 nucleotides) under Salmo salar (Atlantic salmon). RNAcentral's name for it is "lncRNA (ENSSSAG00000121477.1)". Lineage: Eukaryota; Metazoa; Chordata; Actinopteri; Salmoniformes; Salmonidae. The record is from RNAcentral.
AUUCACCCAGUUCAAUGUAACAGUGAUGGGUUUAGGAUACUGUCCUUCAUAUUCACCCAGUUCAAUGUAACAGUGAUGGGUUUAGGAUACUGUCCUUCAUAUUCACCCAGUUCAAUGUAACAGUGAUGGGUUUAGGAUACUGUCAUUCAUAUUCACCCAGUUCAAUGUAACAGUGAUGGGUUUAGGAUACUGUCCUUCAUAUUCACCCAGUUCAAUGUAACAGUGAUGGGUUUAGGAUACUGUCCUUCACCCAGUUCAAUGUAACAGUGAUGGGUUUAGGUUACUGUCCUUCACCCAGUUCAAUGUAACAGUGAUGGGUUUAGGAUACUGUCCUUCACCCAGUUCAAUGUAACAGUGAUGGGUUUAGGAUACUGUCCUUCACCCAGUUCAAUGUAACAGUGAUGGGUUUAGGAUACUGUCAUUCACCCAGUUCAAUGUAACAGUGAUGGGUUUAGGAUACUGUCCUUCACCCAGUUCAAUGUAACAGUGAUGGGUUUAGGAUACUGUCAUUCACCCAGUUCAAUGUAACAGUGAUGGGUUUAGGAUACUGUCAUUCAUAUUCACCCAGUUCAAUGUAACAGUGAUGGGUUUAGGAUACUGUCCUUCAUAUUCACCCAGUUCAAUGUAACGGUGAUGGGUUUAGGAUACUGUCCUUCACCCAGUUCAAUGUAACAGUGAUGGGUUUAGGAUACUGUCAUUCAUAUUCACCCAGUUCAAUGUAACAGUGAUGGGUUUAGGAUACUGUCCUUCAUAUUCACCCAGUUCAAUGUAACAGUGAUGGGUUUAGGAUACUGUCAUUCAUAUUCACCCAGUUCAAUGUAACAGUGAUGGGUUUAGGUUACUGUCCUUCAUAUUCACCCAG